CGGGGCAUCAUACGGCUACCUGCGCCUGUAUCUUCUACAAGUUCCCCAGGAAUUUGGCACCAGGAAUCCUGAAACGAUCUGCAGAAGGUCUUGUGCCCCCAGUCAGGGGUCAAAUCGUCUUACAUCUCAGCUUUUCAAAGCCAGUUCCAAGCCCUGCCUGGAGAAUUCGUUUUAACAGUCGGAUGAGAUCGAAAAUGAAAGAGAUGUUUCAAUACCUGUCCUGAGCUGUCUCCGCUUCCCUUUGUUCAGAUUAUUAAGGCCAAAGGUGCCUCGAAUUGAAACCGUUACAUUUCAGGUAAGCGUCUCCUGGAUAUUGAAAUAAAUUUACCUGUAAAAAUAA
Molecule: long non-coding RNA, 340 nt
Organism: Spea bombifrons (plains spadefoot toad)
Lineage: Eukaryota; Metazoa; Chordata; Amphibia; Anura; Pelobatidae
Exons: 2
Source: RefSeq, a predicted model, not a curated record